UUGAAGUGUUGCCCACAAAACUGAAAAAGUCU
RNAcentral lists this non-coding RNA (32 nucleotides) under Mus musculus (house mouse). The record is from RNAcentral. Lineage: Eukaryota; Metazoa; Chordata; Mammalia; Rodentia; Muridae.